GGUUUCUUGUUUAAUUUUUAAGAGAUCAAACCUGCCCACUGAAUUAUUUUUAAGGGCCGCAGUAUUUUGACUGUGCAAAGGUAGCAUAAUCAUUAGUCUAUUAAUUGUGGACUAGAAUGAAUGGUUUAACGAAGUAAAUUCUAUUUUUUUUAUAUUUUUAUUUGAAUUUUGGUUUUUAGUAAAAAAACUUAAAUUAUAUUAAGGGACGAGAAGACCCUAUAGAGUUUAAUAAAAUGAUAUUUUAUGAAGUUUUUAAUAAAUUAUGUAUUUUUUUAUUUGAUUGGGGUGAUUUAAAGAUAAUUGAAAUUUUUUAUUAUUUUAAAUUAAUUUUUAAAUUGUUUGAUCCAUAAUUUAAUUAUGAUUAUAAGAUUAAAUUACCUUAGGGAUAACAGCAUAAUUUUUUUUGAGAGUUCUUAUUGAAAAUUAAGAUUAUGACCUCGAUGUUGGAUUAAGAUAAAUUUUUGAUGUAGAUGUUUAAUAAUUGGGUCUGUUCGACCUUUAAAAUCUUACA
RNAcentral lists this ribosomal RNA (511 nucleotides) under Thrinaconyx fumosus. Its description in RNAcentral is "partial 16S ribosomal RNA". The stretch from base 385 to 511 matches the Rfam family "Bacterial large subunit ribosomal RNA", at positions 2473 to 2600 of the family's 2925-position model. The record is from RNAcentral. Lineage: Eukaryota; Metazoa; Arthropoda; Insecta; Mantodea; Thespidae.